GGUUAAGCGACUAAGCGUACACGGUGGAUGCCCUGGCAGUCAGAGGCGAUGAAGGACGUGCUAAUCUGCGAAAAGCGCCGGCGAGGUGAUAUGAACCCUUGACCCGGCGAUGUCCGAAUGGGGAAACCCAGUGUGAUUCGUCACACUAUCGUUAACUGAAUACAUAGGUUAACGAGGCGAACCGGGGGAACUGAAACAUCUAAGUACCCCGAGGAAAAGAAAUCAACCGAGAUUCCCCCAGUAGCGGCGAGCGAACGGGGAGCAGCCCAGAGUCUGAAUCAGCUUGUGUGUUAGUGGAAGCGUCUGGAAAGUCGCACGGUACAGGGUGACAGUCCCGUACACGAAAAUGCACAGGUUGUGAACUCGAAGAGUAGGGCGGGACACGUGGUAUCCUGUCUGAAUAUGGGGGGACCAUCCUCCAAGGCUAAAUACUCCUGACUGACCGAUAGUGAACCAGUACCGUGAGGGAAAGGCGAAAAGAACCCCGGCGAGGGGAGUGAAAAAGAACCUGAAACCGUGUACGUACAAGCAGUGGGAGCACCUUCGUGGUGUGACUGCGUACCUUUUGUAUAAUGGGUCAGCGACUUAUAUUCUGUAGCAAGGUUAACCGUAUAGGGGAGCCGAAGGGAAACCGAGUCUUAACUGGGCGUUAAGUUGCAGGGUAUAGACCCGAAACCCGGUGAUCUAGCCAUGGGCAGGUUGAAGGUUGGGUAACACUAACUGGAGGACCGAACCGACUAAUGUUGAAAAAUUAGCGGAUGACUUGUGGCUGGGGGUGAAAGGCCAAUCAAACCGGGAGAUAGCUGGUUCUCCCCGAAAGCUAUUUAGGUAGCGCCUCGUGAAUUCAUCUUCGGGGGUAGAGCACUGUUUCGGCUAGGGGGCCAUCCCGGCUUACCAACCCGAUGCAAACUACGAAUACCGAAGAAUGUUAUCACGGGAGACACACGGCGGGUGCUAACGUCCGUCGUGAAGAGGGAAACAACCCAGACCGCCAGCUAAGGUCCCAAAGUCAUGGUUAAGUGGGAAACGAUGUGGGAAGGCCCAGACAGCCAGGAUGUUGGCUUAGAAGCAGCCAUCAUUUAAAGAAAGCGUAAUAGCUCACUGGUCGAGUCGGCCUGCGCGGAAGAUGUAACGGGGCUAAACCAUGCACCGAAGCUGCGGCAGCGACACUAUGUGUUGUUGGGUAGGGGAGCGUUCUGUAAGCCGUUGAAGGUGGCCUGUGAGGGUUGCUGGAGGUAUCAGAAGUGCGAAUGCUGACAUAAGUAACGAUAAAGCGGGUGAAAAGCCCGCUCGCCGGAAGACCAAGGGUUCCUGUCCAACGUUAAUCGGGGCAGGGUGAGUCGACCCCUAAGGCGAGGCCGAAAGGCGUAGUCGAUGGGAAACAGGUUAAUAUUCCUGUACUUGGUGUUACUGCGAAGGGGGGACGGAGAAGGCUAUGUUAGCCGGGCGACGGUUGUCCCGGUUUAAGCAUGUAGGCGGAGGUUCCAGGUAAAUCCGGUACCUUUUUAACGCUGAGGUGUGAUGACGAGGCACUACGGUGCUGAAGUAACAAAUGCCCUGCUUCCAGGAAAAGCCUCUAAGCAUCAGGUAACACGAAAUCGUACCCCAAACCGACACAGGUGGUCAGGUAGAGAAUACCAAGGCGCUUGAGAGAACUCGGGUGAAGGAACUAGGCAAAAUGGUGCCGUAACUUCGGGAGAAGGCACGCUGAUAUGUAGGUGAAGCCCCUGCGGGUGGAGCUGAAAUCAGUCGAAGAUACCAGCUGGCUGCAACUGUUUAUUAAAAACACAGCACUGUGCAAACACGAAAGUGGACGUAUACGGUGUGACGCCUGCCCGGUGCCGGAAGGUUAAUUGAUGGGGUUAGCGGUAACGCGAAGCUCUUGAUCGAAGCCCCGGUAAACGGCGGCCGUAACUAUAACGGUCCUAAGGUAGCGAAAUUCCUUGUCGGGUAAGUUCCGACCUGCACGAAUGGCGUAAUGAUGGCCAGGCUGUCUCCACCCGAGACUCAGUGAAAUUGAACUCGCUGUGAAGAUGCAGUGUACCCGCGGCAAGACGGAAAGACCCCGUGAACCUUUACUAUAGCUUGACACUGAACACUGGUCCUUGAUGUGUAGGAUAGGUGGGAGGCUUUGAAGCGUGGACGCCAGUCUGCGUGGAGCCGCCCUUGAAAUACCACCCUUUAAUGGCUGGUGUUCUAACGUAGACCCGUAAUCCGGGUUGCGGACAGUGUCUGGUGGGUAGUUUGACUGGGGCGGUCUCCUCCCAAAGAGUAACGGAGGAGCACGAAGGUUAGCUAAUCCUGGUCGGACAUCAGGAGGUUAGUGCAAUGGCAUAAGCUAGCUUGACUGCGAGAGUGACGGCUCGAGCAGGUGCGAAAGCAGGUCAUAGUGAUCCGGUGGUUCUGAAUGGAAGGGCCAUCGCUCAACGGAUAAAAGGUACUCCGGGGAUAACAGGCUGAUACCGCCCAAGAGUUCAUAUCGACGGCGGUGUUUGGCACCUCGAUGUCGGCUCAUCACAUCCUGGGGCUGAAGUAGGUCCCAAGGGUAUGGCUGUUCGCCAUUUAAAGUGGUACGCGAGCUGGGUUUAGAACGUCGUGAGACAGUUCGGUCCCUAUCUGCCGUGGGCGCUGGAGAAUUGAGGGGGGCUGCUCCUAGUACGAGAGGACCGGAGUGGACGCAUCACUGGUGUUCGGGUUGUCAUGCCAAUGGCACUGCCCGGUAGCUAAAUGCGGAAGAGAUAAGUGCUGAAAGCAUCUAAGCACGAAACUUGCCCCGAGAUGAGUUCUCCCUGAGACUUAAAGUCUCCUGAAGGAACGUUGAAGACGACGACGUUGAUAGGUCGGGUGUGUAAGCGCAGCGAUGCGUUGAGCUAACCGAUACUAAUGAACCGUGAGGCUUAACCUU
RNAcentral lists this ribosomal RNA (2905 nucleotides) under Enterobacter cloacae. RNAcentral's name for it is "23S ribosomal RNA". It matches the Rfam family "Bacterial large subunit ribosomal RNA". Lineage: Bacteria; Pseudomonadati; Pseudomonadota; Gammaproteobacteria; Enterobacterales; Enterobacteriaceae. The record is from RNAcentral. RNAcentral also lists the same sequence under 1 other name.